GACGAACGCUGGCGGCGUGCUUAACACAUGCAAGUCGAACGGAAAGGCCCUGCCUUUGUGGGGUGCUCGAGUGGCGAACGGGUGAGUAACACGUGAGUAACCUGCCCUUGACUUUGGGAUAACUUCAGGAAACUGGGGCUAAUACCGGAUAGGAGCUGCUGCUGCAUGGUGGGGGUUGGAAAGUUUCGGCGGUUGGGGAUGGACUCGCGGCUUAUUAGCUUGUUGGUGGGGUAGUGGCUUACCAAGGCCUUGACGGGUAGCCGGCCUGAGAGGGUGACCGGCCACAUUGGGACUGGGAUACGGCCCAGACUCCUACGGGAGGCAGCAGUGGGGAAUAUUGCACAAUGGGCGGAAGCCUGAUGCAGCAACGCCGCGUGCGGGAUGACGGCCUUCGGGGUGUAAACCGCUUUCGCCUGUAACGAAGCGUGAGUGACGGUAAUGGGUAAAGAAGCACCGGCUAACUACGUG
RNAcentral lists this ribosomal RNA (468 nucleotides) under uncultured bacterium. Its description in RNAcentral is "partial 16S ribosomal RNA". It matches the Rfam family "Bacterial small subunit ribosomal RNA", at positions 28 to 507 of the family's 1533-position model. The record is from RNAcentral.